GAAGGCAGCUGUCUACAAGUCAGGAAGAGGGCACUCACCAGAAGAGAAUCUACCAGCACCUUGAUCUUGAACUUUAGCCUCUAGAACUGAAGGUCAAUUUCACCGAUCAGAAGUAAGAGACUGUGAAAAUCUGGGAUUCUGCUGAGUUCGCCUCAGUUCUCCCUCCCUGUGUCACAGCCUGGAAACUAUCAAUGAAGUAAAUCGUUAAGACUCUUCUCUGUUGUUUCGUGCCUCUUAGGGAUCUCUGUUCUCCCCUUACUUGAUGUCUAAUUUUGUUAUUUUAUUUGAAUGACUGUUUCAUAUACCUCUGGGACCAAAGUAGGAUUUGGUAGGGGCUUAAAACACUGUUAAGAAAAAUCGACUGAAUAAAUUGUGUAUAUAAAUUCACUAAUACAA
This 396-nucleotide long non-coding RNA is filed under the name Equus caballus (horse). Its description in RNAcentral is "lncRNA (ENSECAG00000030301.3)". Lineage: Eukaryota; Metazoa; Chordata; Mammalia; Perissodactyla; Equidae. The record is from RNAcentral.